This 487-nucleotide ribosomal RNA is filed under the name uncultured bacterium. RNAcentral describes it as "partial 16S ribosomal RNA". It matches the Rfam family "Bacterial small subunit ribosomal RNA", at positions 28 to 507 of the family's 1533-position model. The record is from RNAcentral.
GAUGAACGCUAGCGAUAGGCUUAACACAUGCAAGUCGAGGGGCAGCACAAGGUAGCUUGCUAUCUGGGUGGCGACCGGCGCACGGGUGCGUAACGCGUAUGCAACUUGCCCUAUACAGGAGGAUAACCCGUCGAAAGACGGACUAAUACUGCGUAUGCUCACAACUUGGCAUCAAGUGGUGAGGAAAGAAAUUCGGUAUAGGAUAGGCAUGCGUCCCAUUAGCUUGUUGGUGAGGUAACGGCUCACCAAGGCAACGAUGGGUAGGGGAACUGAGAGGUUUAUCCCCAACACUGGUACUGAGACACGGACCAGACUCCUACGGGAGGCAGCAGUGAGGAAUAUUGGGCAAUGGGCGCGAGCCUGAACCAGCCAAGUCGCGUGAAGGAUGACUGUCUUAUGGAUUGUAAACUUCUUUUAUACGGGAAUAACAAGAGUCACGGGUGACUCCCUGCAUGUACCGGAUGAAUAAGCAUCGGCUAACUCCGUG